Non-coding RNA from Brachypodium distachyon (stiff brome), 136 nucleotides. The record is from Rfam. Lineage: Eukaryota; Viridiplantae; Streptophyta; Magnoliopsida; Poales; Poaceae.
CUAGUACUUCCUCCUUCCGACAACGGAUGUCUCAACUUUGAUUAAAUUUAGAUGCAUCUAAACACUAAGUCAUGUUUAGAUGCAUCCAAAUUUUGACAAACUUGAGACAUCUUUUGUUGGACGGAGGGAAUAGCAU